GAAUUCACUAGUGAUUCAGGCCUAACACAUGCAAGUCGAACGAACUCUGGUAUUGAUUGGUGCUUGCAUCAUGAUUUACAUUUGAGUGAGUGGCGAAAAGGUGAGUAACACGUGGGAAACCUGCCCAGAAGCGGGGGAUAACACCUGGAAACAGAUGCUAAUACCGCAUAACAACUUGGACCGCAUGGUCCGAGCUUGAAAGAUGGCUUCGGCUAUCACUUUUGGAUGGUCCCGCGGCGUAUUAGCUAGAUGGUGGGGUAACGGCUCACCAUGGCAAUGAUACGUAGCCGACCUGAGAGGGUAAUCGGCCACAUUGGGACUGAGACACGGCCCAAACUCCUACGGGAGGCAGCAGUAGGGAAUCUUCCACAAUGGACGAAAGUCUGAUGGAGAAGCGCCGCGUGAGUGAAGAAGGGUUUCGGCUCGUAAUAAAAGGUUGUUAAAGAAGAACAUAUCUGAGAGUAACUGUUCAGGUAUUGACGGUAUAACC
This 490-nucleotide ribosomal RNA is filed under the name uncultured bacterium. RNAcentral's name for it is "bacterial SSU rRNA". It matches the Rfam family "Bacterial small subunit ribosomal RNA", at positions 34 to 484 of the family's 1533-position model. The record is from RNAcentral.